This 73-nucleotide transfer RNA is filed under the name Elusimicrobia bacterium HGW-Elusimicrobia-2. RNAcentral describes it as "tRNA-Pro". It matches the Rfam family "tRNA". Rfam says of the family: Transfer RNA (tRNA) molecules are approximately 80 nucleotides in length. Their secondary structure includes four short double-helical elements and three loops (D, anti-codon, and T loops). Lineage: Bacteria; Pseudomonadati; Elusimicrobiota. The record is from RNAcentral.
CGGGGUGUGGCCUAGCUGGUAGGGCGCCUGCUUUGGGAGCAGGAGGUCGGCGGUUCAAAUCCGCCCACCCCGA